This 533-nucleotide ribosomal RNA is filed under the name uncultured bacterium. RNAcentral's name for it is "partial 16S ribosomal RNA". It matches the Rfam family "Bacterial small subunit ribosomal RNA", at positions 355 to 902 of the family's 1533-position model. The record is from RNAcentral.
UGGGGAAUAUUGGACAAUGGGCGAAAGCCUGAUCCAGCAAUGCCGCGUGAGUGAUGAAGGCCUUAGGGUUGUAAAGCUCUUUUACCCGGGAUGAUAAUGACAGUACCGGGAGAAUAAGCUCCGGCUAACUCCGUGCCAGCAGCCGCGGUAAUACGGAGGGAGCUAGCGUUGUUCGGAAUUACUGGGCGUAAAGCGCACGUAGGCGGCUUUGUAAGUUAGAGGUGAAAAGCCUGGAGCUCAACUCCAGAAUUGCCUUUAAGACUGCAUCGCUCGAAUCCAGGAGAGGUGAGUGGAAUACCGAGUGUAGAGGUGAAAUUCGUAGAUAUUCGGAAGAACACCAGUGGCGAAGGCGGCUCACUGGACUGGUAUUGACGCUGAGGUGCGAAAGCGUGGGGAGCAAAACAGGAUUAGAUACCCUGGUAGUCCACGCCGUAAACGAUGAUAACUAGCUGUCCGGGGACUUGGUCCUUGGGUGGCGCAGCUAACGCAUUAAGUUAUCCGCCUGGGGAGUACGGCCGCAAGGUUAAAAACUC